AGGGAGUUUGAUCCUGGCUCAGGAUGAACGCUGGCGGCGUGCUUAACACAUGCAAGUCGAACGAAGCAACUUAUUACGAUCCCUUCGGGGUGACGAUUUGUUGACUGAGUGGCGGACGGGUGAGUAACGCGUGGGUAACCUGCCUUGUACAGGGGGACAACAGUUGGAAACGACUGCUAAUACCGCAUAAGCGCACAGUACCGCAUGGUACAGUGUGAAAAGUUUUUUCGGUACAAGAUGGACCCGCGUCUGAUUAGCUAGUUGGUGAGGUAACGGCUCACCAAGGCGACGAUCAGUAGCCGACCUGAGAGGGUGACCGGCCACAUUGGGACUGAGACACGGCCCAAACUCCUACGGGAGGCAGCAGUGGGGAAUAUUGCACAAUGGGCGAAAGCCUGAUGCAGCGACGCCGCGUGAGCGAAGAAGUAUUUCGGUAUGUAAAGCUCUAUCAGCAGGGAAGAUAAUGACGGUACCUGACUAAGAAGCUCCGGCUAAAUACGUGCCAGCAGCCGCGGUAAUACGUAUGGAGCAAGCGUUAUCCGGAUUUACUGGGUGUAAAGGGAGCGUAGACGGUUUGCCAAGUCUGAUGUGAAAGGUGAGGGCUCAACCCUUAAACUGCAUUGGAAACUGGUAGACUAGAGUGUCGGAGAGGUAAGUGGAAUUCCUAGUGUAGCGGUGAAAUGCGUAGAUAUUAGGAGGAACACCAGCGGCGAAGGCGGCUUACUGGACGAUAACUGACGUUGAGGCUCGAAAGCGUGGGGAGCAAACAGGAUUAGAUACCCUGGUAGUCCCCU
Molecule: ribosomal RNA, 794 nt
Filed under: uncultured Bacillota bacterium
Lineage: Bacteria; Bacillati; Bacillota
Description: bacterial SSU rRNA
Rfam family: Bacterial small subunit ribosomal RNA
Source: RNAcentral